CCUGGCUCAGAACGAACGCUGGCGGCGUGCUUAACACAUGCAAGUCGAGCGAGAAAGGGAGCUUCGGCUCCUGAGUAAAGCGGCGCACGGGUGAGUAACACGUGGGUAACCCGCCUUUCAGUGGGGGAUAACAGUUCGAAAGGGCUGCUAAUACCGCAUUCGUCCACACGGUCACAUGUCUGUGUGGAGAAAGAGGCGCAAGUCUCGCUGGAAGAUGGGCCCGCGGUCCAUUAGCUAGUUGGUGGGGUAAAGGCCUACCAAGGCUUCGAUGGAUAGCUGGUCUGAGAGGAUGAUCAGCCACACUGGAACUGAGACACGGUCCAGACUCCUACGGGAGGCAGCAGUGGGGAAUAUUGCGCAAUGGGCGAAAGCCUGACGCAGCAACGCCGCGUGUGUGAUGAAGGCCUUCGGGUUGUAAAGCACUGUUCAGAGGGAAGAAGUGACGGGGGUAAACACUCCGUUUCGACGGUACCUCUGAAGAAAGCACUGGCUAACUCCGUG
RNAcentral lists this ribosomal RNA (501 nucleotides) under uncultured bacterium. Its description in RNAcentral is "bacterial SSU rRNA". It matches the Rfam family "Bacterial small subunit ribosomal RNA", at positions 18 to 507 of the family's 1533-position model. The record is from RNAcentral.